This 253-nucleotide ribosomal RNA is filed under the name uncultured bacterium. RNAcentral's name for it is "partial 16S ribosomal RNA". It matches the Rfam family "Bacterial small subunit ribosomal RNA", at positions 524 to 776 of the family's 1533-position model. The record is from RNAcentral.
UACGAAGGGGGCUAGCGUUGCUCGGAAUCACUGGGCGUAAAGCGCACGUAGGCGGCCAACUAAGUCAAACGUGAAAUCCCUCGGCUUAACCGGGGAACUGCGUCUGAUACUGGAUGGCUUGAGAUUGGGAGAGGGAUGCGGAAUUCCAGGUGUAGCGGUGAAAUGCGCAGAUAUCAGGAGGAACACCGAUGGCGAAGGCAGGUCUCUGGGCCACUACUGACGCUGAGAAGCGAAAGCAUGGGGAGCGAACAGG